UUACGGUCAAAUCACGCUGAAAAGACCGGUUCUCGUUCGAUCACCGAAGUUAAGCAUCGUAGAGCCACGUCAGUACUUAGAUGGGGGACCGCUUGGGAACACCUGGUACUGUAAG
This 115-nucleotide ribosomal RNA is filed under the name Acanthosepion pharaonis. The record is from RNAcentral. Lineage: Eukaryota; Metazoa; Mollusca; Cephalopoda; Sepiida; Sepiidae.